CAUGAGCUCAGCCCGCUAGACCCUGCCCGUCCCAGACCAGACAAAGCUCUACAGGGAGGGACCGGUGCAGCCGGGACACUCCUACCCCCACCCCGAGCAAGGCCCGAGGGGUGCCAUGACACUCAGCGUUCCAAGGCCUACGUCCUUUCCUGGAUCUGAGCCAAACCAACCAGGCAAAUGGUUUUGCAUACCAGUCUAAUCAAUUGUUAAACUGCCCAUCUUCCUCUAUGCAACAGUGAGUGACAUCAAGGGAUAUUGCCUGUACCUAGGAUGGCAUCCUACAUCAAGGAAGGCAUUCCAGCAACUCCAGUCUCAUCAUCAGGUCCAAAUGAUAUAAUCAAAUGUCAGGCUAUAAAAGUGAAGGACCUGACCCUUAUCAAUGUCUACAAACCUCCAUCUGCCAGCUGGCCAACUCCUCUCCUCCCCACCUUCUCAGGACUUUCAGUCUACUGUGGCAAUUUUAACUUACACCAUUCCCACUGGCAAUACACUGAUGAUGAUGUGGGUGGAGUAAAGCUAGAGGAGUGAGUGUUGAUGGUCGACCUGCAGCUUCACUCUUUAUGAUCCUAAGCAGCCACCACUUUUCAUAGCAACAGGUGGGCCUUGGGUUCUUCUCCUGACUUUGCCUCUUCUACAGUUAGAAGAAGCUAUGCUAAGAAUGGAAAAGU
Molecule: long non-coding RNA, 668 nt
Organism: Chelonoidis abingdonii (Abingdon island giant tortoise)
Lineage: Eukaryota; Metazoa; Chordata; Testudines; Testudinidae
Source: RefSeq, a predicted model, not a curated record